GUGCUCCCUUUGGCAGCACAUAUUCUAAAAUUGGAAAGAUACAGAGAUGAGCAUGGCCCCUGUGCCAGGAUGACCUGCAAAUUUGGGAAAUAUUCCAUAUUUUC
Molecule: small nuclear RNA, 104 nt
Filed under: Sciurus vulgaris (Eurasian red squirrel)
Lineage: Eukaryota; Metazoa; Chordata; Mammalia; Rodentia; Sciuridae
Source: RNAcentral